AUACGUAGGGUGCAAGCGUUAAUCGGAAUUACUGGGCGUAAAGCGUGCGCAGGCGGUUUUGUAAGACAGAGGUGAAAUCCCCGGGCUCAACCUGGGAACUGCCUUUGUGACUGCAAGGCUAGAGUACGGCAGAGGGGGAUGGAAUUCCGCGUGUAGCAGUGAAAUGCGUAGAUAUGCGGAGGAACACCGAUGGCGAAGGCAAUCCCCUGGGCCUGUACUGACGCUCAUGCACGAAAGCGUGGGGAGCAAACAGGAUUAGAUACCCUGGUAGUCCACGCCCUAAACGAUGUCAACUGGUUGUUGGGUCUUCAUUGACUCAGUAACGAAGCUAACGCGUGAAGUUGACCGCCUGGGGAGUACGGCCGCAAGGUUGAAUCUCAAAUGAAUUGGCGGGG
This 395-nucleotide ribosomal RNA is filed under the name uncultured bacterium. Its description in RNAcentral is "partial 16S ribosomal RNA". It matches the Rfam family "Bacterial small subunit ribosomal RNA", at positions 523 to 918 of the family's 1533-position model. The record is from RNAcentral.